Molecule: long non-coding RNA, 452 nt
Filed under: Lepidothrix coronata (blue-crowned manakin)
Lineage: Eukaryota; Metazoa; Chordata; Aves; Passeriformes; Pipridae
Description: lncRNA (ENSLCOG00000013601.1)
Source: RNAcentral
CUCAGAAACAGCACUGGCACCAUGAGGUCCCUUUAGCUUUCUGUUUUCUGUGUGCCUUUCCCAACUCAGCUCUAACUUUUUGCUAAUUUAUAUCUCCCUUACAUUCCCCACCAUCCCAUGUACAGAUGCUGCUGGAGUCCACAAGACACGCAGGCAAGACGGAAGGAGAGACCCAGUUGCUCUUUGGUAUGAAAAACUCAGAGCUCAGUUUGGCAUUUUGCUUUUGCCCACUGUUGGAGACAGGAGAUAGAUGGACCUUUGGCCUGGCUCAGUGUGGCUGCUCUUCUGGUGUUGUGAAAGAGCUGGAGCCCUUGUGGACUGUUUGGGAAUGCCUUACAGGACCAAAAAUAGAACAGUAUAUAGCAGUAUACCCAAGAAAGAAAAGGCAGACGACUCCAUGUGUUUCCAGGAAACUCCUCCAAGUCAACCAGGAAUUCCCAGCAAAAUCAGUG